This 72-nucleotide transfer RNA is filed under the name Rheum officinale. RNAcentral's name for it is "tRNA-Thr". The stretch from base 1 to 56 matches the Rfam family "tRNA", at positions 17 to 71 of the family's 71-position model. From Rfam's summary of the family: Transfer RNA (tRNA) molecules are approximately 80 nucleotides in length. The record is from RNAcentral. RNAcentral also lists the same sequence under 1 other name. Lineage: Eukaryota; Viridiplantae; Streptophyta; Magnoliopsida; Caryophyllales; Polygonaceae.
GGUAGAGUAACGCCAUGGUAAGGCGUAAGUCAUCGGUUCAAAUCCGAUAAGGGGCUUUUUACUUUUUUUCAU